Molecule: ribosomal RNA, 532 nt
Filed under: uncultured Acinetobacter sp.
Lineage: Bacteria; Pseudomonadati; Pseudomonadota; Gammaproteobacteria; Moraxellales; Moraxellaceae
Description: bacterial SSU rRNA
Rfam family: Bacterial small subunit ribosomal RNA
Source: RNAcentral
AGUGACGCGGCGGCAGCUUACACAUGCAAGUCAAGCGGGGGAAGGUAGCUUGCUACUGGACCUAGCGGCGGACGGGUGAGUAUGCUUAGGAAUCUGCCUAUUAGUGGGGGACAACAUCUCGAAAGGGAUGCUAAUACCGCAUACGUCCUACGGGAGAAAGCAGGGGAUCUUCGGACCUUGCGCUAAUAGAUGAGCCUAAGUCGGAUUAGCUAGUUGGUGGGGUAAAGGCCUACCAAGGCGACGAUCUGUAGCGGGUCUGAGAGGAUGAUCCGCCACACUGGGACUGAGACACGGGCCAGACUCCUACGGGAGGCAGCAGUGGGGAAUAUUGGACAAUGGGCGCAAGCCUGAUCCAGCCAUGCCGCGUGUGUGAAGAAGGCCUUAUGGUUGUAAAGCACUUUAAGCGAGGAGGAGGCUACUUUAGAUAAUACCUAGAGAUAGUGGACGUUACUCGCAGAAUAAGCACCGGCUAACUCUGUGCCAGCAGACGCGGUAAUACAGAGGGUGCAAGCGUUAAUCGGAUUUACUGGCU